RNAcentral lists this ribosomal RNA (371 nucleotides) under Alexandrium tamarense. Its description in RNAcentral is "partial Bacterial large subunit ribosomal RNA". It matches the Rfam family "Bacterial large subunit ribosomal RNA", at positions 1392 to 1760 of the family's 2925-position model. Lineage: Eukaryota; Dinophyceae; Gonyaulacales; Pyrocystaceae. The record is from RNAcentral.
UAAGCCGAGGCCGAAAGGCGUAGGUGAUGGAAAACGGGUUAAUAUUCCCGUGCCUCCCAUAAUGAGCAGAGCAGGGACGGAGAAGGGUAGCUGAGCCACCGUGUGGUUGUGGUGGUUCAAGCCGGUAGGCCGAGCUCCUAGGAAUAAAACGGGAGCUCAACGCCGAGAAGUGAUGACGAAGGGCUCUGCCCUAUAAAGUCAGUGAUCCCAUGCUUCCAAGAAAAGCUGCGUACUGUGUUGAUUUAUGGGGGACCGUACCCCAAACCGACUCUGGUGGGCGGGGUGAGUAUCCCAAGGCGCUUGAGAGAACCCAGGUUAAGGAACUAGGCAAAAAAGCACCGUAACUUCGGGAGAAGGUGCGCCGGUUUUGG